UACGGAGGGUGCAAGCGUUAUCCGGAUUUACUGGGUUUAAAGGGUGCGUAGGCGGGCUUGUAAGUCCGUGGUGAAAUCCCCGAGCUUAACUUGGGAACUGCCAUGGAUACUAUAAGUCUUGAAUAUUGUGGAGGUAAGCGGAAUAUGUCAUGUAGCGGUGAAAUGCUUAGAUAUGACAUAGAACACCAAUUGCGAAGGCAGCUUGCUACACGAUCAUUGACGCUGAGGCACGAAAGCGUGGGGAGCAAACAGG
RNAcentral lists this ribosomal RNA (253 nucleotides) under uncultured bacterium. RNAcentral's name for it is "partial 16S ribosomal RNA". It matches the Rfam family "Bacterial small subunit ribosomal RNA", at positions 524 to 776 of the family's 1533-position model. The record is from RNAcentral.